AGCGAACGCUGGCGGCAGGCUUAACACAUGCAAGUCGAGCGGGCGUAGCAAUACGUCAGCGGCAGACGGGUGAGUAACGCGUGGGAACGUACCUUUUGGUUCGGAACAACACAGGGAAACUCGUGCUAAUGCCGGAUAGGCCCUUACGGGGAAAGAUUUAUCGCCGAAGGAUCGGCCCGCGUCUGAUUAGCUAGUUGGUAGGGUAAUGGCCUACCAAGGCCACGAUCAGUAGCUGGUCUGAGAGGAUGAUCAGCCACAUUGGGACUGAGACACGGCCCACACUCCUACGGGAGGCAGCAGUGGGGAAUAUUGGACAAUGGGGGCAACCCUGAUCCAGCCAUGCCGCGUGAGUGAUGAAGGCCCUAGGGUUGUAAAGCUCUUUUGUGCGGGAAGAUAAUGACGGUACCGCAAGAAUAAGCCCCGGCUAACCUCGUGCCAGCCGCCGCCGUAA
This 451-nucleotide ribosomal RNA is filed under the name uncultured bacterium. Its description in RNAcentral is "partial 16S ribosomal RNA". It matches the Rfam family "Bacterial small subunit ribosomal RNA", at positions 29 to 523 of the family's 1533-position model. The record is from RNAcentral.